GGGCCAGCCGCGGCGGUAAUCCAGAGGGGGCGAGCGUAAAUCGGAUUUACUGGGCGUAAAGCGUGCGUAGGCGGCUUUUUAAGUCGGAUGUGAAAUCCCUGAGCUUAACUUAGGAAUUGCAUUCGAUACUGGAAAGCUAGAGUAUGGGAGAGGAUGGUAGAAUUCCAGGUGUAGCGGUGAAAUGCGUAGAGAUCUGGAGGAAUACCGAUGGCGAAGGCAGCCAUCUGGCCUAAUACUGACGCUGAGGUACGAAAGCAUGGGGAGCAAACAGGAUUAGAUACCCUGGUAGUCC
RNAcentral lists this ribosomal RNA (292 nucleotides) under uncultured microorganism. Its description in RNAcentral is "partial 16S ribosomal RNA". It matches the Rfam family "Bacterial small subunit ribosomal RNA", at positions 505 to 796 of the family's 1533-position model. The record is from RNAcentral.